Long non-coding RNA from Numida meleagris (helmeted guineafowl), 412 nucleotides. Lineage: Eukaryota; Metazoa; Chordata; Aves; Galliformes; Numididae. The record is from Ensembl.
CAUUGUUAACUCUGUGUUAACAGGAAAUAUUUUAUUCCUGAUUUGUCAGCACAACUACUUCAGUUGCCUUUAAUGACAGAACAUGGUCAGUGGUGAUACAGGAAAAGAAGAAGGCUACUUUUGUGCGUAAGCCUCCACAGACUAUUUCAAAACUUUAAUGUCCGGUAGUAGUCUUUCAUGAUAAAUUUUAGUGAAGUGCAACUCGGCAGGAGAAGAAGGAAUUCAGAGCAACAUCUACUUCAGUCACAGUAUCCUGCUUCUCAGUCCUGGUGAAGUUAGGCCGACUGCAGGCCUGUUCUCCAGAAAGGCUGCACAGGAUGGGAAUUUGAGCCGACGGUCACAGAAAAACUGCUCAUGCAGAAGCAUUCUUAAUAGAAGACUACAAGGAGCUGACCAUCGAAAUGGACAAAAG